RNAcentral lists this ribosomal RNA (492 nucleotides) under uncultured bacterium. Its description in RNAcentral is "partial 16S ribosomal RNA". It matches the Rfam family "Bacterial small subunit ribosomal RNA", at positions 29 to 507 of the family's 1533-position model. The record is from RNAcentral.
AGUGAACGCUGGCGGUAGGCCUAACACAUGCAAGUCGAACGGCAGCACAGUAAGAGCUUGCUCUUACGGGUGGCGAGUGGCGGACGGGUGAGGAAUACAUCGGAAUCUACUUUUUCGUGGGGGAUAACGUAGGGAAACUUACGCUAAUACCGCAUACGACCUACGGGUGAAAGCAGGGGAUCUUCGGACCUUGCGCGAUUGAAUGAGCCGAUGUCGGAUUAGCUAGUUGGCGGGGUAAAGGCCCACCAAGGCGACGAUCCGUAGCUGGUCUGAGAGGAUGAUCGGCCACACUGGAACUGAGACACGGUCCAGACUCCUACGGGAGGCAGCAGUAGGGAAUAUUGGACAAUGGGCGAAAGCCUGAUCCAGCCACACCGCGUGGGUGAAGAAGGCCUUCGGGUUGUAAAGCCCUUUUGCUGGGAAAGAAAAGCAGCAGAUUAAUACCCCGCUGUUCUGACGGUACCCAAAGAAUAAGCACCGGCUAACUUCGUG